CGGGCUCCGGCGCGCGCCCCCGUGGAGACCCAGGCGGCGGUGGGUGGGGGAAGACGCGACCGGUCCGGUCGCCGCGCCCCAGUGGAAAACGCUCCCUAGCAGGAAGCUAGCAAAUCGGAGCCUGGAGUCCCGCGCCCGCUGUCGGACGGGGCCGCUGCGGCAUCAGGAGGGGCGGACCGACGGCCUCCUUCCCGCCUGCGCGACCAGCCAAGUGCGGCAGGGUCCUGCGGGUCCAGCCCGAGUCCACCACAGACAACUUGAUGGCUCAGAAUCCUGCCUGACUCGGGCGGGCCGCCUGCCUGCUGGGCAGCCCCUCGCCAGUGCCUGCCUCCGGGAUCUGGGGACUGGGCUCGCUCUCCUCUCGGGCCCUGGCGCCCGACGCAAGAUGGCUGUGUCGCCUCGGCCUCUAAACAAUGUGUGGAGCGCGCAGCUCCUGAACCGGGGCCCGGCGGCCUGUCCUGCCCGCCCCUGGGGGCCGUGUGAUCUGUUUUCGGAAACCAAAAUAUUUAUUGUUGGAUUUAUCCAGGAAGGCUGUUCUACAUCAGUUAAAUCCAUCAUAUCUUCAAGAAAUAUUAAAUGACAUGAGUAGUGUUCUCUUUGUAUGCUGGAUUUUUCAAUAGCUUCUACUUCUUGGCUUUUAAAAAUAUUUCUAACCAAGGGUCAGACCAUUUUAGGUAGAGUAGUUAUGAUCUUAGAUUAUUUGAACUAACUCAGCUGUCCGUUUGCAAAAUGGGAAUCAUGUUUAUCUCUAUGGAGGUAGGCCACAAAUUCUUUCUAGUAGGUUCAAGUACUGAGGCAUCUGGAGAGGUGACUGGUUAGCCUCCUAGUGGCUUCAGGAAGUUUUCUCACUGAGUGAGUAUUUAUUGAGUGCAAACUCUGCUCAGCACAAUUCAGGGGUGCUGGGAAUGGAGCAGUGAAUAACACAAGCAGUGUUCCUGCCCUCAUGGGGCUUAUGAUCUCUGGAAGCACUGCUUUGCAGAGGGAAGUAGCACCAGGAGGGGCAAAAGAAAGAGGGGCUUUGGAGCCCCAAGAUUGAGAAAACGAUAACCAAGGAGAGAGGGGAACUGUAGAGUCCAGAUAAUGGGGGAGGAGAGCUGCCAGAGCAAGAAGGGAUUCUCACCAGUGGUUAGUCCUGAAUUGGUUUUGCUAGAACUCAGGCCCAGCACAGUGGCUCAUGUCUGUAAUCCUAGCACUUGGGAGUCCAAGUCCUAGGUGGGUGGAUCACUUGAGAUCAGGAGUUUGAGACCAGCCUGGCCAACAUGUAAUAACCCGGUCUCUACUAAAAAUGUAAAGAAAUUAGCCAGUGUGGUGGCACACACCUGUAAUCCCAGAUACUUAGGAGGCUGAGGUGGCAGCAUUGCUUUAAUUGGGGAGGUGGAGGUUGCAGUGAGCAGAGAUUUUGCCACUGCACUUCAGCCUGGGUGACAGAGACUCCAUCUCAAAAAAAAAAAAAGAUAGAAUUCUUGGGGUUAAUAAUGGCUUCAACAUUUGCAGUUAAAAAAAAUGGGGAGGACGGGAGCAAAAGCUUUUAAGUUAAAAUAUUUUCCCUAAAAUAGAGUACUUAUGGCCAUGAAUUUAGAUUUGUUUAUAAGUAGAAAAGUAGAAUGGAAAGGAUUUUAAAAGCAACGCUAUUCAGAUAUGCUUGGCUCCUGUCAAUUAACUGCAAAGAUUACUGCCUCGUGGAGACGUUUCUGGUCACUCCAGUGGUAUCUCCAUGCACACUUUAUCACAUUGAUUUCACAUCACCUUUUUAUCACCUCAGUUUACAUCUGUCAUUUGUUCACUUGCUUAUUGUCCGUUUCCUCCCCAAAGAAUAUAACCUCUGAGAUAAUAAUGGUCUUAUCUGCUUUUUUCCCCUACUGUUUCUAAUCAUUUGCUGUACCUUUUUAGUGGUCUGGACAGAUCAAACCAGCUACAACAUUCCUUGAGCCAAAGCUAAUUCAGAUCACAGUCCUAGCUCUCUUCAAUUCUCUGAAUCCUAAGAGAGGUGAGGAAACUGCAGAAGAGUUUGAAGCGAGCAGAGGUUAAUGAGGUUGAAGUAACAAAGCCAUGUCUGUAGCAUAAAAGUGCAAGAUGAAGCAUCAGGUGAUCUGAAAGAUCUAAGAUCAUUGAUGAAGGUGGUUACACUAAAUAACAGAUUUUUGUUGUAGAUGAAACAGUUUCUAUUGGAAGAAGAUGCCUUCUAGGACUUUCAUAGCUAGAGAAGAGAAAUCGGUGCCUGGCUUCAAGUUUCAAAGGAUAGGAUGAUUCUCUUGUUGGGGCUAACACAGCUGUGACUUUAAGUGGAAGUCAGUGCUCAUUACCAUGCUGAAAAUCCUAGGGCCUUUAAGAAUUAUGCUAAAUCUACUCUGCCUGUGCUCUAGAAAUGGAGCAACAAAGCCUGAUGACAGCACAUCAUUUAUAGCAUGGUUCACUUUUUUUUUUUUUUUUGAGACAGUUUUGCUCUUCCUGCCCAGGCUGGAUGCUGUGGUGCCAUCUUGGCUCACCACAACUUCCGCCUCCCGGGUUCAAGUAAUUCUCCUGCCUCAACCUCCUGAGUAGCUGGGAUUACAGGCAUGUGUGACUACGCCCAGUUUAUGUUGUAUUUUUAGUAGAGACAGGGUUUCUCCAUGUUGGUCAGGCUGGUCUUGAACUCCCAACCUCAGGUGAUCCGCAUAUCUCAGCCUCCCAGAGUGCUGGGAUUAUAGGUGUGAGCCAGUUUUUUUUUUUUUUUUUGAGAUGCAGUCUCAUUCUUGUCGCCCAGGCUGGAGUGCAGUGGUGCAGUCUUGGCUCCCUGCAGCCUCUGCCUCCCGGGUUCAAGUGAUUCUCCUGUCUCAGUCUCCUGAGUAGCUGGGAUUACAGGCACCCACCACCAUGCCCAGCUAAUUUUUGUACUUUGAGUGGAAAUGGAGUGUCGCCAUGUUGACCAGGCUGGUCUCAAACUCCUGACCUCAGGUGAUCCGCCCACCUCAGCCUCCCAAAGUGCUGAGAUUACAGGCAUGAGCCACUACGACCGGCUGCAAGGUUUACUAUUUUAAGCCCACUGUGGAGACCCAGUGCUCAGAAAAAAAGAUUCCUUUCAAAACAUUACUGUUCAUUGACAGUGCACUUAGUUGCCCAAGGGCUCUAAUGGAGAUGGACGAGGAGAUGAGCGUCGUUUUCAUGCUUGCUAACACAACAUUCUGCAGCCUGUGGAUCAAUGAGCAAUUUCAACUUUUUUUUUUUUUGUGAUGGGGUCCCACUCUGUCACCCAGGUUGAAUGCAAUGGUGUGAUCUCAGGUCACUACAACUUCAACCUCCCAGGCUCAGUUGACCCUCCUACCUCAGCCUCCCCAGGAGCUGGGACUACAGGUGCAUGCCACCAGUUCUGGCUAAUUUUUUUUUUUUUUUUUUGAGAUGGAGUCUUGUUCUUUUGCCAGGCUGGAGCGUAGUGGCGCAAUCUCAGCUCACUGCAACCUCCGCCUCCUGGGUUCAAUUGAUUCUUCGCUUCAGCCUACUGAGUAGCUGGAACCAAAGGCGUGUGCCAGCACGCCCGGCUAAUUUUUGUAUUUUAGUAGAGACAGAGUUUCACCAUGUUGGUCAGGAUGGUCUUGAUCUCUUGACCUCGUGAUCUGCCCUCCUCGGCCUCCCAAAGGACUGAGAUUACAGGUGUGAGCCACUGUGCCCGGCCAUAUUUCUUGAACACCCACAGUAGCUUAAGUCACACGUACUUACCAGGAGUCACUGAUGAAAGAGAGGUUCAUUGUCAUUCCAAAGUGCACUCUACACUCAUUAGGAAAUAAGGUCACAUUAUUUCCACUAACAUUAAACGCAGGUGAUACGGAUAUUAGUAAAAGUCUUUCUAUAUCUGCUGUUUGGCCCCUACAAAUUUUUUUUCUUUUUAAAUAGAGACAGGAUCUUGCUCUGUUGCUUGGGCUGAAGUGCAGUGGCUCAUAGCUCAUCAUAACAUCCAACUCAUAGGCUCACGUGAUCCUCCCACCUCAGCCUCCUGAGUAGCUAGGAUAUAGGCACAUGCCACCAUGGCCAGAUAAUUUUUAAAUUUUUAUUUCAUAGAGAUGUCACAUAGAGAUGGGAUCUUGCUGUGUUGGCCAGGCUGGUCUCAAACUCCUGGCCUCAAGUGAUCCUCCUGCCUCAGCCUCCCAAAGCACUAGGAUUAGAGCUAUGAGCCAUUGCACCCAACACUCUUACAAAUUUUCAUUUGUGGAUAUGAAAUCCCCUGACUCCCUAAUAAGCCGAAUGCUUUAAAAUUUAAAGGUUAACAUGUUUAUUAGAAAGGGGAAAAUAGGCCGAGCAUGGUGGCUCAUGCCUAUAAUCUCAGCACUUUGGAAGGCCAAGUUGGUCAGAUCACCUGAGAUCACGAGUUUGAGACCAGCCUGGCAAACAUGGCGAAAUUCCGUCUCUACUAAAAAUACAAAAAAUUUGCUGGACAUGGUGAUAUGCACCUGUAGUCCCAGCUACUUGGAAGGCUGAGAUAGGAGAAUCACUUGAGCCGAGAAGGCAGAGAUUGCAGUGAACCAAGAUCUUGCCACUGCACUUAAUCCUGGGUAACAGAUCGAGACUCCGUCUCAAAAAAAAAAAUUUAUAUUAUGUAUAGUAAUGUAUUUUAUAAUUCGUUAUUGUAUUAUAUAUUAUAUAAUGUUAUAUAUUAUGUAUAAAUAAUAACAUUAUUAUUAGAGGGUCCAUCAGAUAGCUGAGAAAAACAUAGCUAAUAUUUACUGAGGAUUUAUGGUAUGCCAGACCCUGUGUUGAAUGUUAGAUGCACUUUCUCAAUAAUAAUAAUAAUAAUAUGUCUAUUAUUCUGCCCCAGUUACAGAUGAAGAAAUAGGCUAAGGAAGGUCAGGUAACUGAGCAGGAUAACAAGUGGCAGGGUGGGGACUCCACCCCUGAAUCUGCUCAGCAGCCCAGGCUCUGCUGCCCAUAUGAUUCACAAGCAUUUGUUUGGCUAAAAUUAGUUACAGACAGUUAUCAGAAAUUUACUUUUAAAAUCUUUAAAAUUGCCACAUUUUAUUAUAUUUUUACCUAUCAAGAAUUGGUCCAUUUUUCUAGAGUGCCAUGUAAAUGUACUAAUAACCACACAACAAAUUGCUAAAAUUGAUAAACAUGUAUAUUUCAAAGAUUAUUAAUGAUAAUGCAUAAUGCUAAAAGCUGCAGUAAUUUUCAAAGAGAGUAGUACCUAGAUACAAGAGUCCUGCAGUAAGGAAGGUGAAUAACCACUCAUGUGCCAUGAAGCGGCAGUUAGUGUAUUAGUGGUGCUUCACAAAUACUUUUCUGUCAUCUUUGAGGUAGAGGAGCACUGCUAUUCCAUAGCAUCCAGAGAGAUGCAGCCAGGAUGAAACUCAGAAGCCCAGGGACAGGAUCCCUGAACUCAGCCAUAAGAUCCCAGAACUCAGUUUUUCUGCUCCCCUGGAAUGUGUUUUUCAGAACUGCCACGUGAGGCUGAAGGGCCAGGACACUGGAUCCAGGCUUAUGAAAUGGACAAGACCAAUGUGAAAUGGCCUGGUUCUUUGCAGGUGCCCAUUAAAUUUUCUUUUCCCCUUCUCUUAUUCAAUAAUUAGCUAUUUGGUUUGUGU
Long non-coding RNA from Callithrix jacchus (white-tufted-ear marmoset), 5549 nucleotides. RefSeq lists it as uncharacterized. Lineage: Eukaryota; Metazoa; Chordata; Mammalia; Primates; Cebidae. The record is from RefSeq and is a predicted model, not a curated record.